AUGUAUAAACCAUACAUUCCGGUUCCUGUGCUCCGGCCGCCACGCUCUGACGAGCGCUCGUUACUUUUACGUUUGAGCAUGCUAUUAACAGCC
This 93-nucleotide small RNA is filed under the name Iodobacter ciconiae. Its description in RNAcentral is "Xanthomonas sRNA sX9". It matches the Rfam family "Xanthomonas sRNA sX9". Lineage: Bacteria; Pseudomonadati; Pseudomonadota; Betaproteobacteria; Neisseriales; Chitinibacteraceae. The record is from Rfam by way of RNAcentral.